RNAcentral lists this ribosomal RNA (407 nucleotides) under uncultured bacterium. RNAcentral's name for it is "partial 16S ribosomal RNA". It matches the Rfam family "Bacterial small subunit ribosomal RNA", at positions 28 to 526 of the family's 1533-position model. The record is from RNAcentral.
GACGAACGCUGGCGGCGCGCUUAACACAUGCAAGUCGAGCGAAGCGGCGGACGGGUGAGUAACACGUGAGUAACCUGCCUUAGACAUUGGGAUAGCCUCGGGAAACCGGGAUUAAUACCAAAUGGUCUAAGAGGGCGUCGCGUCCCAUUAGCUAGUUGGUGAGGUAACGGCCCACCAAGGCGACGAGGGGUAGCCGGCCUGAGAGGGUGAACGGCGACAUUGGAGCUGGGCAACGUUCCAAACUCUACGGGAGGCAGCAGUGGGGAAUAUUGCACAAUGGAGGGAACUCUGAUGCAGCGACGCCGCUUGAACGAAGAAGGCUUUCGAGUCGUAAAGUUCUUUUAUAUGGGAAGCGGUACCAUAAGAAAAAGCCCCGGCUAACUACGUGCCAGCAGCCGCGGUAAUUC